This 30-nucleotide non-coding RNA is filed under the name Rattus norvegicus (Norway rat). The record is from RNAcentral. Lineage: Eukaryota; Metazoa; Chordata; Mammalia; Rodentia; Muridae.
UCCUCAUUCUCAGCAAGCUGCUAGCUACUC